AGAGUUUGAUCCUGGCUCAGGACAAACGCUGGCGGCGUGCCUAAGACAUGCAAGUCGGACGGUGGCGAAAGCCACAGUGGCGGACGGGUGAGGAACGCGUGACUAACCUGCCCACGGGUGGGGGAUAACCUGCAGAAAUGCGGGCUAAGACCGCAUGAGACCGGGUGGUGCGAGCCGCCUGGGGAAAGCCUACGGGUGCC
This 200-nucleotide ribosomal RNA is filed under the name uncultured bacterium. Its description in RNAcentral is "partial 16S ribosomal RNA". It matches the Rfam family "Bacterial small subunit ribosomal RNA", at positions 8 to 219 of the family's 1533-position model. The record is from RNAcentral.